GGGCAACCCUUAGUAGAGCGGCGCACGGGUGCGUAACACGUGGAUAAUCUGCCUGGAUGCCUGGGAUAACCAGUCGAAAGAUUGGCUAAUACCGGAUAAGCCCACGGUUUCUUCGGAGACUGAGGGAAAAGGUGGCCUCUGUAUACAAGCUAUCACAACCAGAUGAGUCCGCGGCCCAUCAGCUAGUUGGCGGGGUAAUGGCCCACCAAGGCGACGACGGGUAGCUGGUCUGAGAGGACGAUCAGCCACACUGGAACUGAGACACGGUCCAGACUCCUACGGGAGGCAGCAGUGGGGAAUUUUGCGCAAUGGGCGAAAGCCUGACGCAGCAACGCCGCGUGUGUGAUGAAGGUCUUUGGAUUGUAAAGCACUUUCGACCGGGACGAAACCGUAAAGCCUAAUACGCUUUGCCUUGACGGUACCGGGAGAAGAAGCACCGGCUAACUCUGUGCCAGCAGCCGCGGUAAUACAGAGGGUGCAAGCGUUGUUCGGAAUUAUUGGGCGUAAAGCGCGUGUAGGCGGCUUUGCAAGUCGGGUGUGAAAGCCCUCAGCUCAACUGAGGAAGUGCGCCCGAAACUGCAGAGCUUGAGUGCCGGAGAGGGUGGCGGAAUUCCCCAAGUAGAGGUGAAAUUCGUAGAUAUGGGGAGGAACACCGGUGGCGAAGGCGGCCACCUGGACGGUAACUGACGCUGAGACGCGAAAGCGUGGGUAGCAAACAGGAUUAGAUACCCUGGUAGUCCACGCCGUAAACGAUGAGAACUAGGUGUCGUGGGAGUUGACCCCCGCGGUGCCGUAGCUAA
RNAcentral lists this ribosomal RNA (800 nucleotides) under Corallococcus coralloides. RNAcentral's name for it is "bacterial SSU rRNA". It matches the Rfam family "Bacterial small subunit ribosomal RNA", at positions 77 to 855 of the family's 1533-position model. The record is from RNAcentral. Lineage: Bacteria; Pseudomonadati; Myxococcota; Myxococcia; Myxococcales; Myxococcaceae.